RNAcentral lists this ribosomal RNA (247 nucleotides) under uncultured bacterium. Its description in RNAcentral is "partial 16S ribosomal RNA". It matches the Rfam family "Bacterial small subunit ribosomal RNA", at positions 86 to 334 of the family's 1533-position model. The record is from RNAcentral.
AGAUGGCGACCGGCGCACGGGUGAGUAACACGUAUCCAACCUGCCGAUAACUCGGGGAUAGCCUUUCGAGAGAAAGAUUAAUACCCGAUGGCAUAAUAGAACCGCAUGGUUUGAUUAUUAAAGAAUUUCGGUUAUCGAUGGGGAUGCGUUCCAUUAGGCAGUUGGUGGGGUAACGGCCCACCAAACCUUCGAUGGAUAGGGGUUCUGAGAGGAAGGUCCCCCACAUUGGAACUGAGACACGGUCCAA